AAAGGGGGUGGGGAUGGCGGGGGGUGAGGUAAAAAAGGUUCACCGACACCGGAGGGGGGGUUUGGAUGCCGACCGUGAAGGAGGGGGGUUUUUCGAGGGAUGGGGAGGGGUGGAAACGGAGGGAGAAGGGGCUGGGGGUAGGGGAGGGGGGUGUCGAGGGUAGGGGGCAGGCCUCGUGGGCGAAUAGGGACCACCGGCGCGCAGGGGGAGGGGUAGGAUCUAGCGGCCGCCGCCGGCGCGGUCUUGUAGGGGCAGGUGGUGGGGCGUUGGGGUGGGGUGGGUCUUGGGUGGUGGGGUUUUUUUUUAUAUAAUUUUUUAAAGUUUUUUUUAAUAAUUAAUUAACUAAUAUUACAACAACCUAUUAGAGGCUUCCACAUGGCUUAUUAGUCAUUAAUGACUAACGGCGGUUAACUGCCGUUAGUCAUUAAGGGUAUUCGGCGACAUUUUUCUUAAACUCAUGAGUAUUUGGUGGAUUUAAAAGUUUUGAUGGGUAAUUGGUGAAUAAAAAAAUAACUCAGGGGCAUUUGGUGUAAUUUCUGUAUUUUAAAAAAUAAAAAAAUUUCUUAUAAAUAGCCCUAAAAACACUCCCCUCAUUUCAGUUUCCUUUCUCUCUAUCCUCUCUCUAGCCGCACACCCUCUCUCUCUCUUCUUUCUUCAUCUACCUUCUCUCUGUAUCUAUCCUCUCUUGCUACUCCCUCUCUUCUCGAUCUCCUUCGCUACUCCCUCUCUUCUCUUUAUCUCUCCUUCAUUGUUGAUUUCCGAAGCUAGCCCACGAAGCACCCCGAUGUAUUUCCUGACCAAGUUCCCGGCAUGUUAUGGUUUUAAGGUCAAGUUCGACCAUGGAAAUGCUAGAUCUAGCGUUUUCAUGGUCGAAUUUGGCCUUAUAUAACAAUUUCAAGACUAACCAUGGUUGAAUCGUUGUGAUAUAGGUGGUUCUAUAGGUGGAUAUCGCUAUAAAGAGUCUGCUACGAAGGCCAAAGUAGUAUCUAAGAAGGUCAAAGCAGUACCUAAGAAGGCUAAAACAAUGCUUCAAGAGUCUCUUAAGGGUAAAAUAGUGCCUAAGAAGGCCAAAACUAUGAUUGAAGAGGCUUCUAAGGGUGAAAUAGUAACUAAGAAGGCCAAAACAAUGCCCAAAGAGUCUGCAAAGGAAAAAACACAGUACGUAAGAAGAGAAAGAUAAGUCCUCAAUUAGAAUUGGAUUCUGAUUUUGACCUUGAUACUUCAUGUAAGAGAACUUGUUUUCAAUGAUUCUUGAUUUGCAUUUGUUUAUGAUAUUGUUUUAUUGACAUUUUUUUUUUGUUUUUUUUUACAAGUAGGUGUAGACCAUAUAGAGGGACCAAAGACCUUUGAUUACAAGGUGUAGACCAUAUACCUUGGAAAGCUUGGUGCAGAGCUUUAGUGUUAAUAAAAAACAAGAUGUUGAAGAAGUUGGUUUUGGUGGUUUAUUACAUUUAAAGUUGAAAGCUCUCUGUCGUAAAAUGCUACCUUGGCUUGUGAAAAUCUUUAAUGGUGGUAGCUGCCUGUUUACUAUUGGUAGUGGUAAAUAAUUUGUAGUUACUAGGAAUGAUGUAUGUGGCGUGUUUUGUUUUCCUAUGGGUGAUAUUCCUGUUCCUGAACUAAAGAAAAAUGUUGAAAAUGCAAGUGUAGACAACUGUAUUAUUAAGGCUUGGAGAUUUGAUUUUGAUAUUUCUGAUAAGCAAGCUAUCCCUUUGCCAAAAUUAGAGUCUUGGAUAAAGGCUUUGGUUGAUGGAGGGGAAGAAUUUAAGAGGUAUUUUGUUGUUCAUGCUAUGUUUAGCUUUUUAGCUCCUGCUACUAAUAGGAACGCUUCAUUGAAGUUGCUAAAGAUUGUUGAAGAAGUUGAUGAAAUCAAAACUUUUGAUUGGUGUUCUUAUGUUUUGAAGAAGUUAAAGAAGGAUGUGGAUAACUAUAACAAUGAAACAACUGCUCAGAUUGUUAGUGGAUGUUUGGUGGUUUUCAAAUUCUGUAUUUUCAUCGUUUAAAUAUUUAAGGAGUAAAGGAGAGUUGUAGUAUUCCUUUUAUUCAGCAUUGGACAGAUGCUAAGAUUAAGAGUUGGAUUAAUUUAUAAAGCUGGUGGUUUUGGACAGGGACCAUUGGAUACCACUACGUAUCCUGUGUCACAGUUUGCUAUUAGCCAAUCUGUUGUUGUUGUUGUUGUUAAGAAACCUCUUACUUUGGGAUCUAGUCAGGAUGGUUUAAAGUUAUUGGUGCUUCUUCAAGUGGUACAAUUGGCUGCUUUAUUCAAUUAGAGCUUCCAGAAGGUGUGAUGACUGAUGAUGAAAUAAAAGAAAUUUCAACUAA
This is a long non-coding RNA of Chenopodium quinoa (quinoa), 2319 nucleotides long. RefSeq lists it as uncharacterized. The transcript has 2 exons. The record is from RefSeq and is a predicted model, not a curated record. Lineage: Eukaryota; Viridiplantae; Streptophyta; Magnoliopsida; Caryophyllales; Amaranthaceae.